GGACUACUGGGGUAUCUAAUCCUGUUUGCUCCCCACGCUUUCGCGCCUCAGCGUCAGUAGAAGACCAGGUUGCCGCCUUCGCCACCGGUGUUCUUUCCAAUAUCUACGAAUUUCACCUCUACACUGGAAAUUCCACAACCCUCUUCUCCACUCUAGCUCACACGUAUCAAAAGCAGUCCCCAGGUUGAGCCCAGGAAUUUCACUUCUGACUGUGUGUGCCGCCUACGCGCCCUUUACGCCCAGUCAUUCCGAGCAACGCUAGCCCCCUUCGUAUUACCGCGGCGGCUGGCAC
This 292-nucleotide ribosomal RNA is filed under the name uncultured Alphaproteobacteria bacterium. Its description in RNAcentral is "partial 16S ribosomal RNA". The record is from RNAcentral. Lineage: Bacteria; Pseudomonadati; Pseudomonadota; Alphaproteobacteria.